Molecule: ribosomal RNA, 468 nt
Filed under: Triticum aestivum (bread wheat)
Lineage: Eukaryota; Viridiplantae; Streptophyta; Magnoliopsida; Poales; Poaceae
Description: partial small subunit ribosomal RNA
Source: RNAcentral
AUGCGCAUGAAUGGGAUCGCCAACAAGCUGCGCACGCUCGGCGAGAACUUCGACGAGGUGAAGGUCGUGAAGAAGCUUCUCCGCAUUGUGCCGUCCAAGUAUACCCAGGUAGCUAUUGCCAUUGAGCAGCUUCUUGAUCUUAAAACCAUGUCCAUGGAAGAGCUUGUGGGAAGGCUCAAAAUGGCGGAGGACCGGAGCAAUUUGGACGAGGGCGCCAACAACUACGACCAGGGUGGUGGGAGUCGCCUGCUCCUCACGGAGGAGGAGUGGCUUGCUCGCUACCGCAGCGGCGCCGGCAAGAAGAAGAGAAACUUCGACAUCCGGAAGGUCCGCUGCUACACUUGCCAAGAGUAUGGGCAUUACUCGAGGGACUGCACCGAGCCGAAGAAGGAGCGGGCGCUUCUCGCCGACGCAACUGCCGACGACAACCCGGGGCUAUACCGAAGGUUGCCAUGGAGUUCCCAAUAA